Thamnophis sirtalis is the source of this 670-nucleotide non-coding RNA. NCBI's taxonomy places the organism in Eukaryota, Metazoa, Chordata, Lepidosauria, Squamata, Natricidae. The record is from the annotation of a RefSeq genome assembly.
AAACAAUGUGCUAUACUUUGGCCAGGGAACCAGACUGACAGUGCUAGAAAAGGGACACAUUAUCACACCCCCAACUGUGACCAUAUUCUCUCCAUCCAAAAGAGAAUUGGAAGAAAAGCAGAAAGCUACAAUUGUUUGUUUGGCCACUGAUUUCUAUCCAGAUCACAUCAUUCUUACAUGGUUCCUUAAUAACAAUGUUAUAACAGAGGGAAUAAAGACAGAGGAGCCCAAAUAUGAAAAUAAGAAAUAUUCACUGAUCAGCCGUUUAAGAAUCACUGGGAACCAGUGGCAGAAUUCAAAAAACCAUUUCAAGUGCAAAGUUGAUUUCUACAAUUCUUCUGCAAGCACAAGUUACAACGCUUCCAUAACUGGAGAAGAAUGUGACAGCGAGACCCCCACAAAUGAAUCGUAUCUCAGACAAACCAAUCUUGGAAAACUGGUGUAUAUUCUUCUCAUUUUCAAGAGUGCCUUGUAUGGGGCAUUUAUAAUGUGUUUGAAAAUAAGAAAAAAGUCCUGUGGCAGUUGAUACAACAGAAGCAUUUUACCUGGGAACAUUAUAUCUGAGUUGAAUGAAUGCUGGAGAAAAAAGAAUGAUUCUUGCCUUUAAAAGUCCAAAGUGGCUUUUUAAUUCUUUUUUUUAAAAUAAAAAAUAUUUGGUUGUUCCCAACUU